AGAGUUUGAUCAUGGCUCAGAUUGAACGCUGGCGGCAGGCCUAACACAUGCAAGUCGAACGGCAGCGGGGGGUAGCUUGCUACCCCGCCGGCGAGUGGCGGACGGGUGAGUAAUGCCUGGGGAGCUGCCCAAUCGAGGGGGAUACCAGUUGGAAACGACUGCUAAUACCGCAUACGCCCUGAGGGGGAAAGGUGGGGAUCUUCGGACCUACCGCGAUUGGAUGCACCCAGGUGGGAUUAGCUAGUUGGUGAGGUAACGGCUCACCAAGGCGACGAUCUCUAGCUGGUCUGAGAGGAUGACCAGCCACACUGGAACUGAGACACGGUCCAGACUCCUACGGGAGGCAGCAGUGGGGAAUAUUGCACAAUGGGGGAAACCCUGAUGCAGCCAUGCCGCGUGUGUGAAGAAGGCCUUCGGGUUGUAAAGCACUUUCAGCGAGGAGGAAAAGGGUGAUGCUC
This 458-nucleotide ribosomal RNA is filed under the name uncultured bacterium. Its description in RNAcentral is "bacterial SSU rRNA". It matches the Rfam family "Bacterial small subunit ribosomal RNA", at positions 8 to 462 of the family's 1533-position model. The record is from RNAcentral.